Molecule: long non-coding RNA, 1163 nt
Organism: Ictalurus punctatus (channel catfish)
Lineage: Eukaryota; Metazoa; Chordata; Actinopteri; Siluriformes; Ictaluridae
Source: Ensembl
GUGUGUGUGUAGUUUGUGUAGUGUGUGUAGUGUGUGUGUAGUGUGUGUAGUGUGUGUGUAGUGUGUGUAGUGUGUAUGUAGUGUGUGUAGUGUGUGUGUAGUGUGUAUGUAGUGUGUGUAGUGUGUGUGUAGUGUGUGUAGUGUAUAUGUAUUGUGUGUAGUGUGUUUAAUGUAUGUGUAGCUUGUGUAGUGUGUGUAGUGUGUAUGUAGUGUGUGUGUAGUUUGUGUAGUGUGUGUAGUGUGUGUGUAGUGUGUGUGUAGUGUGUGUGUAGUGUGUGUAGUGUGUGUGUAGUGUGUAUGUAGUGUGUGUAGUGUGUAUGUAGUGUGUGUAGUGUGUGUGUAGUGUGUAUGUAGUGUGUGUAGUGUGUGUGUAGUGUGCAUGUAGUGUGUGUAGUGUGUGUGUAGUGUGUGUAGUGUGUGUGUAGUGUGUAUGUAGUGUGUGUAGUGUGUGUGUAGUGUGUAUGUAGUGUGUGUAGUGUGUAUGUAGUGUGUGUAGUGUGUGUGUAGUGUGUAUGUAGUGUGUAUGUAGUGUGUGUGUAGUGUGUAUGUAGUGUGUGUAGUGUGUAUGUAGUGUGUGUAGUGUGUGUAGUGUGUGUGUAGUGUGCAUGUAGUGUGUGUAGUGUGUGUGUAGUGUGUGUAGUGUAUAUGUAUUGUGUGUAGUGUGUUUAAUGUAUGUUGUGCAUGUAGUGUGUGUAGUGUGUGUGUAGUGUGUGUAGUGUAUAUGUAUUGUGUGUAGUGUGUUUAAUGUAUGUGUAGCUUGUGUAGUGUGUGUAGUGUGUAUGUAGUGUGUGUGUAGUUUGUGUAGUGUGUGUAGUGUGUGUAGUGUGUAUGUAGUGUGUGUAGUGUGUGUGUAGUGUGUAUGUAGUGUGUGUAGUGUGCAUGUAGUGUGUGUAGUGUGUGUGUAGUGUGUGUAGUGUGUGUAGUGUAUGUAGUGUGUGUGUAGUGUGUAUGUAGUGUGUGUGUAGUGUGUGUAGUUUGUGUGUAGUGUGUAUGUAGUGUGUGUGUAGUGUGUAUGUAGUGUGUGUGUAGUGUGUGUGUAGUGUGUGUGUAGUGUGUAUGUAGUGUGUGUGUAGUGUGUAUGUAGUGUGUGUGUAGUGUGUAUGUAGUGUGUGUAGUGUGUGUGUAGUGUGUAUGUAGUGUGUGUGUAGUGUGUGUGUAGUUUG